GAUUGGAGGAGGUUCUAAAAAGGUAUUGCCAGGUGUUGGUGUUAGCGGUGGAACAGCAGGUGACAAAGUGGCUGAGGGAGGGGGCGAUGUUGGAGAACAUAAGCCGUCAAAAUGCAGAGCUGGAGGAGAAGACGAGGUAGAUAAGCGUUGGGCAUUGGAUCUGGGUAUUUAGUUUCUUUGUGAUUAUAAUACCCAAAGGAUAAUACUAUGAUGCUCUUUUAUAAUAUUUUAUUAUAAAAAAUAUUAUAAUUUUUUUUUUCUCUGCUUCUUCCUU
This 274-nucleotide long non-coding RNA is filed under the name Elaeis guineensis (African oil palm). RNAcentral describes it as "long non-coding RNA (EGUI_LNC081841)". The record is from RNAcentral. Lineage: Eukaryota; Viridiplantae; Streptophyta; Magnoliopsida; Arecales; Arecaceae.